GCUCCAUGAAAGACAUGGGUAGUGAGAUGUACACUGUCUCUAAUCACCUUGCUAUCAUGUCUUUCCAUGGAGA
Molecule: non-coding RNA, 73 nt
Organism: Capitella teleta
Lineage: Eukaryota; Metazoa; Annelida; Polychaeta; Capitellidae
Source: Rfam